Long non-coding RNA from Oxyura jamaicensis (ruddy duck), 415 nucleotides. RefSeq lists it as uncharacterized. Lineage: Eukaryota; Metazoa; Chordata; Aves; Anseriformes; Anatidae. The record is from RefSeq and is a predicted model, not a curated record. The transcript has 3 exons.
AUGCUUAUAAAGUGGAGAGUUGGUGUUUCCAGCCCAUCCCAGACAGAGGGGGCAAACCCUGUGCAAGCUUUAGCAAACUGGUGAGCUGAGGGGUGCCUUCAGCACAGUAACCUAGGGAAGAGGAAGGUUAUGGGGGAUCAUAAAACGUGGUUUGGGGUGUGGACAGCAUAGCAAAGAAAGAUGCCUUUGCCUGUAAUCUGCUCUUCUUGUAAAUAUUUACCUUGGCUGGGGCUGGCCUUUAACUGGUAGCUAAUUGUACUUCUGGGACAUCAGCUGUUGUUCCUCUCUCACUCAUGCUGCACUUGCUAGUCCUCCUCCUGCUUCCUGGUAAGGCUUGCCGAAGGCUGGCUGUUACCACACAGACAACACCAUGAACUUAGGACGGACAGCUAACGCAGCUACAUGCUUACAAGCC